Molecule: ribosomal RNA, 411 nt
Filed under: uncultured Pseudomonas sp.
Lineage: Bacteria; Pseudomonadati; Pseudomonadota; Gammaproteobacteria; Pseudomonadales; Pseudomonadaceae
Description: bacterial SSU rRNA
Rfam family: Bacterial small subunit ribosomal RNA
Source: RNAcentral
GGGAGCUUGCUCCUGGACUCAGCGGCGGACGGGUGAGUAAUGCCUAGGAAUCUGCCUGGUAGUGGGGGAUAACGUCCGGAAACGGGCGCUAAUACCGCAUACGUCCUGAGGGAGAAAGUGGGGGAUCUUCGGACCUCACGCUAUCAGAUGAGCCUAGGUCGGAUUAGCUAGUUGGUGGGGUAAAGGCCUACCAAGGCGACGAUCCGUAACUGGUCUGAGAGGAUGAUCAGUCACACUGGAACUGAGACACGGUCCAGACUCCUACGGGAGGCAGCAGUGGGGAAUAUUGGACAAUGGGCGAAAGCCUGAUCCAGCCAUGCCGCGUGUGUGAAGAAGGUCUUCGGAUUGUAAAGCACUUUAAGUUGGGAGGAAGGGCAGUAAGUUAAUACCUUGCUGUUUUGACGAUACCAA